This 312-nucleotide long non-coding RNA is filed under the name Rattus norvegicus (Norway rat). Its description in RNAcentral is "long non-coding RNA NONRATT006680". Lineage: Eukaryota; Metazoa; Chordata; Mammalia; Rodentia; Muridae. The record is from RNAcentral.
GCAGAAAGAGAAAUCUGAGCCUCAGCCGCGCCAGGAACAGGCUUUGCACAAACUAUCUGGUUUCAAGUUGCGAGUCUCCGGAGUCCCUGAAAAGGUGCCCCGGGAACAGGACUCCCUUUGCAGGGCCCCGAGGAUUGAUGAGAAUCCCCCAUCCCCAACCACCCAGAGGAUAAGCAGCAGAUCUGGUAGAUGCCUUCCUUAGGAGUCAGCCAAGGCUCGGCUGGAGUUGCUGGAAUGCAUACAGCCACUGAGGUGCAAUGGAGGCUCUGGUGACUUCUGCAGCUGCCCCCUGGCCUGCACUAUGUUUUUGAG